UGCCUUGCAAUGCGUCAUAAUUAUCUGGACUACUAACUUACUUCCAUAUAACUUCGAAAACAGACAAUAAUCUAUUUCAUUGGAUGAGAUUGGGCUCACGGAUUUUUUAAUGGAUUGGACAAGAAAUAUAGAAAAAUAUAAACAGUUACAAAAGAAAUGAGCGCAAAACAAGAUAAACAGAAUACAACAAGGCCUAAAUGGUCAGAUAUCUUGGUUUUUAUGAUCAUCAACAGGUCCUGCAGGUCUAUACUGAAGAGGAAUUUUAAUUGUUAAUACUUUUCUACAUAAUGUGCUAAUUGGAUUAUUAAUGUGAAAUGAACUCAACUGUGUGUUUUUCUGGAAAAAGAAAUAGAAAAAAAUCCUACAAAAUUGCUAUAAACAAAAUAGAGUACUAUCAAAGAACACAAUUGCGUAAAAUGUAACAACCUACAUUCAUAUUCACUGAUGGAUCAUGGAGAAAUUAAGAAAAAUAAUAGUAUAUAUAUGUCAUGUUUGUUGUCGAAAUAAACACCUGCUUU
Mytilus trossulus (common blue mussel) is the source of this 518-nucleotide long non-coding RNA. RefSeq lists it as uncharacterized. The transcript has 3 exons. The record is from RefSeq and is a predicted model, not a curated record. Lineage: Eukaryota; Metazoa; Mollusca; Bivalvia; Mytilida; Mytilidae.